This is a long non-coding RNA of Gopherus evgoodei (Goodes thornscrub tortoise), 689 nucleotides long. RefSeq lists it as uncharacterized. The transcript is spliced from 3 exons. Lineage: Eukaryota; Metazoa; Chordata; Testudines; Testudinidae. The record is from RefSeq and is a predicted model, not a curated record.
UUGCCAUGGUUUAAGCAGCCAAGCUAUUUAGGAAACCUCUCCCGACUUCAUUAUUGCCUUAUCAAGGCAGUUGUAGAUGGAGGCAGCUGCUUCUACAAAGUAUGUAUGUAUGGUGGGCGGGGAGGGGAGGAACGGAAGAUAGGCUCUGGAUAAUGGAGAAGCAGCAUAGACUAUGAGCAGCAGACAGCCGCUUUCCCGCCUUUGAAAUCCUGUAUUUAUAGCCCUGAGCAGAUACAAAAUUUGUAUCCGCGUCCAAUCCACAAAAAUGAUCCGUGGAUAUCCCCAUCUGCAUCUAUGGAUGUGGAUAUCCACGAAUAUAAAACGGAUAUCCAUGGAUGUGCAGGGCUUUACAAGGGGGCACCCAUGAGACUGUUGUGCAUUCCCCAUCCCUCUUGGCAGCCAGGAAACCAAAAAUGUAGAUAUUCUUUUCAGGCCCUUUUUCUAGUUUGCUCUGCCAGUGCAGCUGCAGGUAGCUUUCCUGUAGCUGACCCCUUGAGAGGGAAGACUCAAACCGGAGAAAUAAAGAGAGGUCAUCAUUGGAAGGUAGCAAAAUCCUUCAAUCUGAUGAAUCUUGAGUUCUGCCUGCCUGUUCCAAAAGGUGAGGUGUGGGAAGACACCAGCUUCUCUGCCAUACCAGCCCAUUCGGGCAUUGAUCUUGGCAUUAAAUACUGUCCAGUAGCUGAAGCCUU